GGAGUAGAAGUCGUAACAAGGUUUCCGUAGGUGAACCUGCGGAAGGAUCAUUAUCGAAAUACUUAUUUAGCGUUCCGUGCUAUCCCAUUGUUUUAUUUACCCUGUUGCUUCCACUGGAUGAGUUUCCAUACCUUGUGUUUGAGAAACUUUGGCUUGUGUAAGAUUCAUUCACGGCCAGCCAGUGAGAAGACCAUUUACAAAACCCUGUUAAGAACCAAUUGUCUGAAUAUUUUACUCCAAUGAAAUAAAACUUUCAACAACGGAUCUCUAGGCUCUU
RNAcentral lists this unclassified non-coding RNA (277 nucleotides) under plant metagenome. Its description in RNAcentral is "partial contains small subunit ribosomal RNA and internal transcribed spacer 1". The stretch from base 1 to 53 matches the Rfam family "Eukaryotic small subunit ribosomal RNA", at positions 1779 to 1831 of the family's 1831-position model. The record is from RNAcentral.